AGCGAAAUUCCUUGUCGGGUAAGUUCCGACCCGCACGAAAGGCGUAACGAUUUGGGCACUGUCUCAACGAGAGACUCGGUGAAAUCAUAGUACCUGUGAAGAUGCAGGUUACCCGCGACAGGACGGAAAGACCCCGUGGAGCUUUACUGUAGCCUGAUAUUGAAAUUCGGCACAGCUUGUACAGGAUAGGUAGGAGCCUUUGAAACGUGAGCGCUAGCUUACGUGGAGGCGCUGGUGGGAUACUACCCUAGCUGUGUUGGCUUUCUAACCCGCACCACUUAUCGUGGUGGGAGACAGUGUCAGGCGGGCAGUUUGACUGGGGCGGUCGCCUCCUAAAAGGUAACGGAGGCGCUCAAAGGUUCCCUCAGAAUGGUUGGAAAUCAUUCAUAGAGUGUAAAGGCAUAAGGGAGCUUGACUGCGAGACCUACAAGUCGAGCAGGGUCGAAAGACGGACUUAGUGAUCCGGUGGUUCCGCAUGGAAGGGCCAUCGCUCAACGGAUAAAAGCUACCCCGGGGAUAACAGGCUUAUCUCCCCCAAGAGUUCACAUCGACGGGGAGGUUUGGCACCUCGAUGUCGGCUCAUCGCAUCCUGGGGCUGUAGUCGGUCCCAAGGGUUGGGCUGUUCGCCCAUUAAAGCGGUACGCGAGCUGGGUUCAGAACGUCGUGAGACAGUUCGGUCCCUAUCCGUCGUGGGCGUAGGAAAUUUGAGAGGAGCUGUCCUUAGUACGAGAGGACCGGGAUGGACAUACCUCUGGUGUACCAGUUGUCGUGCCAACGGCAUAGCUGGGUAGCUAUGUAUGGACGGGAUAAGUGCUGAAAGCAUCUAAGCAUGAAGCCCCCCUCAAGAUGAGAUUUCCCAACUUCGGUUAUAAGAUCCCUCAAAGAUGAUGAGGUUAAUAGGUUCGAGGUGGAAGCGUGGUGACACGUGGAGCUGACGAAUACUAAUCGAUCGAAGACUUAAUCAAUUU
RNAcentral lists this ribosomal RNA (968 nucleotides) under Salmonella enterica subsp. enterica serovar Virchow. RNAcentral's name for it is "partial 23S ribosomal RNA". It matches the Rfam family "Bacterial large subunit ribosomal RNA", at positions 1958 to 2925 of the family's 2925-position model. Lineage: Bacteria; Pseudomonadati; Pseudomonadota; Gammaproteobacteria; Enterobacterales; Enterobacteriaceae. The record is from RNAcentral.